CACUGCUUGGGGCCUUCUGGGUGGCAGCACUUCACAGAGGGAGACAGAGCAGCAGCCUUGAGCCCUUGGCUGUUGGGGGUGGGUGGACUGACUCACUUGGCCCCUUCCCUGGUGCCAAUGGGGCAGCCCCCACACCCAUGGGCGCUGGCACCCCGUCAGGCGCCUGGGUUUCGGAAAAGAAAGCUGCAGCCCCGCGGCGCCUGACCCGAGCUGGCUGAGGAUGCGCUCUGCGCGCAGGGACCCGCUGGCCCCGGGGCCGGGAGGAGAUGUUUAGGCAGCGACCCCCUAGAGCAGGCUCGCUCCCGCGGCCGCCUGCUCUGGCCACCCUGGCCGCGGGCCCGCCGGGACGCCCCUGCUCGCCGCGCCCCUCCCCGGGCCGUGGCGCGUCCCCCGAGUCUCGCAGUAUUUCCUUCCUGCACCUUUAAGAAGACCGUUGCUCCGUGGUGGGAUGGUGUGUUAAAGCCACACAGAGGAAGUUACGCAGCCCGGAUCAGACCGAGAGAUAAAAGCCCCGAUGGUGAUCGUGAGUGAUGGCAAGAGGAUUUAGCCUCGGCAUUAACUUGGAGCGGAGUGCAGGGGGGCCGUGAAGCGCCCCGCCAUCUGGUCCGCGCCGCGCCGGGGGGAUGCCCCGGCGCCCCGACGAGCAGCCGCGAAGCCCACCAGGGCCCGGGGCUGCCCGGUGCACGAGCGCGGGUCUUCUGCGAGCCGCCCAGGGGGGCCAAAAAGUUUGCACUUGUUAGCGGCGACCUCCCGCUCGGCCGGGGCGGGCGAUGCGGGCGGCGCGGGCGGCCCCCUCCCCCGGCCCGCGUCUCCCGGACGGCUGCGGGCGGCCCCCCCGGGCGGCCGGAGGGCUCCCCAGCCCCGAUCUGACGGCCGCGGCGGCGGCGGCGGCGGCCACAGCGGCAGCGGGAGCGCGCGGGGAAGGAGCAGCGGCUCGCAGCCCUCCGGCCCUCGCCCCCACCCAGCGCCAGCCAGAGGGGGGAGGCGGAGCGCCGGCGGGUGGCGGUCUUCGGCCUCCCGGGUCUCCGCUCCGGGAAGCUGCUCCGAGCCGGGGGCUUCGGUGACCACGCAGGCUUCCCCGGGGCCCAGGAGCCACUUAAAGCAGCCCAGCCAAGGCUCGGAUGCAAAAGUUAUGUGGUAGUGGCUGCUACUAGCCAGGACUGGAGCCGCCCCGAGAGGGGCGUGUGAGUGUGCGAUUGUAGCAGCAUCUUAAAGGAGUAGCUUGGUCUUUCUGGCUGGCUUUUUCCUUCCUG
RNAcentral lists this long non-coding RNA (1253 nucleotides) under Equus asinus (donkey). RNAcentral describes it as "lncRNA (ENSEASG00005033178.1)". Lineage: Eukaryota; Metazoa; Chordata; Mammalia; Perissodactyla; Equidae. The record is from RNAcentral.